UUUCACGAAUAGAGUACAUGUACAUGUAGGUAUAUGAUAAGGCUUUUUUGCAAUUGUAUCAAAUAUCCUUCAAAUUUAUUAGGACCACAAGACAUUUUAUAAGUCUUGAAUACUGUCUUUCACAUAUUUUUGUUUGUUUGACCUUUGUUUGAAUUUAUUACAUGUUAUAGGAAACAUACCCUAUUUUCAUUUUGAGAUUUUCCCAUUUAGUCAAGUAUUUUGAAAUACAAAAGUGUUUAUUAUAUUCAUGCAAAAUUUCAGGCUACAAUUUUAAAUUUGAACAUGUUUAUUCUGUCUUAGUGCCAUUACAACUGACAAUUCUUAUCUUAAUUUUAGUCUAACAUGCACAGAUUGUAUAUCAAAUAUUUGAGCUGCUAUGGAAAGAAAUCGACUGAUAAUAAUGCAAGUACACAUAUUCAUGUACAUUUUGUACAUGUGUAUUAAGACUGUGUUUGAUUUUAAAACAUUCAAAUAUGAAAUAAAAGAUGAAUUUUAGUCUUUUUUGUAGGGUCCUAUCAACUCAGUUUUCAAGCAAUUAUUAUAGACUUUGCAUGGAGGUUUUUUUUUUCAACACAGAUGUAUUGAUAUUCGUCUGCAUACGGUCAAUUUCUAUCUGACACAACUCAUUUGUCAAUUCAACUAAUGUUAAGGAUGUACUUAGGUGAAGUUUUGGAAUGAGUGUCAAAUGUUCGGACUCCUUAGUGUUUUUCCAUACCAUACAAGGUAAAAUAUUUUGCCCCAUAACACCUAUUUAUCUUUUAACAUUACAAGGCUUAAUAGCUCAUAAAAGGUCAUUUGACAAAAUUUAAGCAGAUUCUUGAUUUCCUUUCUUUUGAUUUGAGACCUAAAUAAUACCAAUGCAAAUAUAAGGUAAAAGUCUGGUUUAGCCUUUUCCCGCCAUAUUUUAUUAAUCAAAUAUCUCAACAGUCAGGGGACUUACUGAAAUAAGUGAUUUUUAAAUCACUUAUUUGAGUAGCAAAUUCAAGGUUUUGUCACAAAUUGGGAUUUUGUAGUUUUUUCAAAAUUUUAAACACAUAGGUUUAAAUAAUAUCUUUUAAUUAGUAAAAUUUAAAAAAAAUGAACUUUUUGCUUCUUUUAAGUAGCAAGGUUUAUGCCUUUGAUGCUAUCAUUUAGCUGAAAAUUUUAUUUUAGUUGAAAAAAUGCUAUAAUAAUGGCUUUACAUAAUGAACUGAUACUUUCUUAAAAGAUUUUUCACAGCAGUCACUGAGUGGGAGGAUUUUUUCUGUGAAGUUCAAGGUUUCAUCUUUCAGAUUAUGUAAUAAAAUUCUACUGUUCGCUAUAAAAAUUUCACUGUUCGGGGGGUGUUGAAAUUAGUGGGGGUUAUUAAAAGAAUGAUACUUAUAGAAGUGAUUUUUGGGAAGGAAAUUGAGGUCUGAUACUUAAACAAGUGAUUUUUAUGUCAGUAUCCUAGAUUCAGUACAAGGUCAUCACCUGAAAUGACCUGGUCAUCCUAGACAACACAGAUGUUGGUUCUGAUAAGUUUAGAAACAUAAUUAGUCCAUGGAUCAUUAGUAUUCUAUAUUUAAAGCUACAAUAAAAUUAAAUCACUUCUUCUAGUGAUUAAUUUGUA
This 1591-nucleotide long non-coding RNA is filed under the name Mytilus galloprovincialis (Mediterranean mussel). Lineage: Eukaryota; Metazoa; Mollusca; Bivalvia; Mytilida; Mytilidae. The record is from RNAcentral.